CGACUACAUUAGAUACCCCGGUAGUCCUAGCCGUAAACGAUACUCGCUAGGUGUCGGCCACGGUGCGACCGUUGUCGGUGCCGUAGGGAAGCCGUGAAGCGAGCCACCUGGGAAGUACGGCCGCAAGGCUGAAACUUAAAGGAAUUGGCGGGGGAGCACAACAACGGGUGGAGCUUGCGGUUUAAUUGGAUUCAACGCCGGAAAUCUUACCGGGACCGACAGCAACAUGAAGGCCAAGCUGAAGGCUUUGCCGGAUUAGCUG
RNAcentral lists this ribosomal RNA (262 nucleotides) under uncultured archaeon. Its description in RNAcentral is "partial 16S ribosomal RNA". It matches the Rfam family "Archaeal small subunit ribosomal RNA", at positions 721 to 982 of the family's 1478-position model. The record is from RNAcentral.